UACAGAGGUCCCAAGCGUUGUUCGGAUUCACUGGGCGUAAAGGGUGCGUAGGUGGCCGGGUAAGUUUGAUGUGAAAGCUCGGAGCUUAACUCCGAAAUGGCAUUGAAUACUAUCCGGCUGGAGGGUCGGAGGGAGACUGGAAUUCUCGGUGUAGCAGUGAAAUGCGUAGAUAUCGAGAGGAACACCGGUGGCGAAGGCGGCCUGCUGGGCAGUAGCUGACACUGAGGCGCGGACAGCGUGGG
This 242-nucleotide ribosomal RNA is filed under the name uncultured bacterium. RNAcentral's name for it is "partial 16S ribosomal RNA". It matches the Rfam family "Bacterial small subunit ribosomal RNA", at positions 524 to 765 of the family's 1533-position model. The record is from RNAcentral.